GGGGCCUUAGCUCAGCUGGAGAGCGCUACAAUGGCAUUGUAGAGGCCAGCGGUUCGACUCCGCUAGGCUCCACCA
RNAcentral lists this transfer RNA (75 nucleotides) under Sphingopyxis sp. Its description in RNAcentral is "tRNA-Ala". It matches the Rfam family "tRNA". From Rfam's summary of the family: Transfer RNA (tRNA) molecules are approximately 80 nucleotides in length. Their secondary structure includes four short double-helical elements and three loops (D, anti-codon, and T loops). Further hydrogen bonds mediate the characteristic L-shaped molecular structure. tRNAs have two regions of fundamental functional importance: the anti-codon, which is responsible for specific mRNA codon recognition, and the 3' end, to which the tRNAs corresponding amino acid is attached (by aminoacyl-tRNA synthetases). tRNAs cope with the degeneracy of the genetic code in two manners: having more than one tRNA (with a specific anti-codon) for a particular amino acid; and 'wobble' base-pairing, i.e. permitting non-standard base-pairing at the 3rd anti-codon position. The record is from RNAcentral. Lineage: Bacteria; Pseudomonadati; Pseudomonadota; Alphaproteobacteria; Sphingomonadales; Sphingopyxidaceae.